This 330-nucleotide ribosomal RNA is filed under the name uncultured Actinomycetes bacterium. Its description in RNAcentral is "bacterial SSU rRNA". It matches the Rfam family "Bacterial small subunit ribosomal RNA", at positions 28 to 351 of the family's 1533-position model. Lineage: Bacteria; Bacillati; Actinomycetota; Actinomycetes. The record is from RNAcentral.
GACGAACGCUGGCGGCGUGCUUAACACAUGCAAGUGGUGCGACGAACCAGGGCUUGCCCUGGGGCAAAGCCGCGAACGGGUGAGUAACACGUGGGUAACCUGCCCCGAUGACCGGGACAACCCGAGGAAACUCGGGCUAAUACCGGAUGUGGUGCAUUGGCAUCAGCCUUUGUACUAAAGGAAGCUUCGGCCUCCGCAUUGGGAGGGGCCCGCGGCCCAUUAGCUUGUUGGUGGGGUAACGGCCUACCAAGGCAACGAUGGGUAGCUGGUCUGAGAGGACGAUCAGCCACACUGGGACUGAGACACGGCCCAGACUCCUACGGGAGGCUG